GGGUUGUGAGGUUAAGCGACUAAGCGUACACGGUGGAUGCCCUGGCAGUCAGAGGCGAUGAAGGGCGUGCUAAUCUGCGAUAAGCGCCGGUAAGGUGAUAUGAACCGUUAUAACCGGCGAUACCCGAAUGGGGAAACCCAGUGUGAUUCGUCACACUAUCAUUAACUGAAUCCAUAGGUUAAUGAGGCGAACCGGGGGAACUGAAACAUCUAAGUACCCCGAGGAAAAGAAAUCAACCGAGAUUCCCCCAGUAGCGGCGAGCGAACGGGGAGGAGCCCAGAGCCUGAAUCAGCAUGUGUGUUAGUGGAAGCGUCUGGAAAGGCGCGCGAUACAGGGUGACAGCCCCGUACACAAAAGCGCAUGUGCUGUGAGCUCGAUGAGUAGGGCGGGACACGUGGUAUCCUGUCUGAAUAUGGGGGGACCAUCCUCCAAGGCUAAAUACUCCUGACUGACCGAUAGUGAACCAGUACCGUGAGGGAAAGGCGAAAAGAACCCCGGCGAGGGGAGUGAAAAAGAACCUGAAACCGUGUACGUACAAGCAGUGGGAGCACCCUUUGGGUGUGACUGCGUACCUUUUGUAUAAUGGGUCAGCGACUUAUAUUCUGUAGCAAGGUUAACCGAAUAGGGGAGCCGGAGGGAAACCGAGUCUUAACCGGGCGUUAAGUUGCAGGGUAUAGACCCGAAACCCGGUGAUCUAGCCAUGGGCAGGUUGAAGGUUGGGUAACACUAACUGGAGGACCGAACCGACUAAUGUUGAAAAAUUAGCGGAUGACCUGUGGCUGGGGGUGAAAGGCCAAUCAAACCGGGAGAUAGCUGGUUCUCCCCGAAAGCUAUUUAGGUAGCGCCUCGUGAAUUCAUCUCCGGGGGUAGAGCACUGUUUCGGCUAGGGGGCCAUCCCGGCUUACCAACCCGAUGCAAACUGCGAAUACCGGAGAAUGUUAUCACGGGAGACACACGGCGGGUGCUAACGUCCGUCGUGAAGAGGGAAACAACCCAGACCGCCAGCUAAGGUCCCAAAGUCAUGGUUAAGUGGGAAACGAUGUGGGAAGGCCCAGACAGCCAGGAUGUUGGCUUAGAAGCAGCCAUCAUUUAAAGAAAGCGUAAUAGCUCACUGGUCGAGUCGGCCUGCGCGGAAGAUGUAACGGGGCUAAACCAUGCACCGAAGCUGCGGCAGCGACACUGUGUGUUGUUGGGUAGGGGAGCGUUCUGUAAGCCUGUGAAGGUGUGUCGUGAGGCAUGCUGGAGGUAUCAGAAGUGCGAAUGCUGACAUAAGUAACGAUAAAGCGGGUGAAAAGCCCGCUCGCCGGAAGACCAAGGGUUCCUGUCCAACGUUAAUCGGGGCAGGGUGAGUCGACCCCUAAGGCGAGGCCGAAAGGCGUAGUCGAUGGGAAACGGGUUAAUAUUCCCGUACUUGGUGUUACUGCGAAGGGGGGACGGAGAAGGCUAUGUUGGCCGGG
RNAcentral lists this ribosomal RNA (1457 nucleotides) under Salmonella enterica. Its description in RNAcentral is "partial 23S ribosomal RNA". It matches the Rfam family "Bacterial large subunit ribosomal RNA", at positions 1 to 1495 of the family's 2925-position model. Lineage: Bacteria; Pseudomonadati; Pseudomonadota; Gammaproteobacteria; Enterobacterales; Enterobacteriaceae. RNAcentral also lists the same sequence under 2 other names. The record is from RNAcentral.